UGGGGAAUUUUGGACAAUGGGCGAAAGCCUGAUCCAGCAAUGCCGCGUGUGUGAAGGAGGCCUUCGGGUUGUAAAGCACUUUUGUCCGGAAAGAAAUCCUUGGCUCUAAUACAGUCGGGGGAUGACGGUACCGGAAGAAUAAGCACCGGCUAACUACGUGCCAGCAGCCGCGGUAAUACGUAGGGUGCAAGCGUUAAUCGGAAUUACUGGGCGUAAAGCGUGCGCAGGCGGUUUGCUAAGACCGAUGUGAAAUCCCCGGGCUCAACCUGGGAACUGCAUUGGUGACUGGCAGGCUAGAGUAUGGCAGAGGGGGGUAGAAUUCCACGUGUAGCAGUGAAAUGCGUAGAGAUGUGGAGGAAUACCGAUGGCGAAGGCAGCCCCCUGGGCCAAAUACUGACGCUCAUGCACGAAAGCGUGGGGAGCAAACAGGAUUAGAUACCCUGGUAGUCCACGCCCUAAACGAUGUCAACUAGUUGUUGGGGAUUCAUUUCCUUAGUAACGUAGCUAACGCGUGAAGUUGGCCGCCUGGGGAGUACGGUCGCAAGAUUAAAACUCAAAGGAAUUGACGGGGUCAUAGCUGUUUCCU
RNAcentral lists this ribosomal RNA (586 nucleotides) under uncultured bacterium. Its description in RNAcentral is "partial 16S ribosomal RNA". It matches the Rfam family "Bacterial small subunit ribosomal RNA", at positions 355 to 1375 of the family's 1533-position model. The record is from RNAcentral.